CAUGUCCUUUUGAGAAUAAUUUAAGGUCUAAUCUGCUCAAUGAAAGUUAAAUUGCCGCAGUAUUUUGACUGUGCAAAGGUAGCAUAAUAAUUAGCUUCUUGAUUAGAAGCUGGAAUGAAUGAUUGGACAAGAAAAUUUCUGUCUCUAUUUAAUUGUUUAUUGAAUUUUAUUUUUAAGUUAAAAAGCUUAAAUAUAUAUAAAAGACGAGAAGACCCUAGAGAGUUUAAUAUUUUAAUUUUAUUUAAUUUUAGUAUACUUUUUAAAAUUUAAUAUAUUUAAUUGGGGUGAUUUAAAGAUUAAAAUAAUUCUUUAAUUUUUUAAUUGAUGAUAAUUAAAUUAUAAAUCUAUAUUUUUAAAUUUAAUAUAAAUUACCUUAGGGAUAACAGCGUAAUUUUUCUUUAAAGCUCUUAUUAAAAGAAGAUUUUGCGACCUCGAUGUUGGAUUAAAAUUAAUUUUUGGUGCAGUAACUUAAAAAUUUGGUCUGUUCGACCUUUAAAAUUUUACAUGAUCUGAGUUUAAACCGGUGUAAGCCAGGUUGGAUUCUAUCUUUAAAUUUUUUAAAUAUUUUAGUACGAAAGGACCAAAUAUUUGUUAAAUUAAUUG
This 603-nucleotide ribosomal RNA is filed under the name Lycus sp. UPOL LF0132. Its description in RNAcentral is "partial 16S large subunit ribosomal RNA". It matches the Rfam family "Bacterial large subunit ribosomal RNA", at positions 1822 to 2714 of the family's 2925-position model. Lineage: Eukaryota; Metazoa; Arthropoda; Insecta; Coleoptera; Lycidae. The record is from RNAcentral. RNAcentral also lists the same sequence under 1 other name.